UUGCUUUUAUUAAAAAUAUUACUCAGAUAAAAACACGUUUAAUUAAGAAUUUGUAAAUGUUGGCCACCGACGAGCGCGGACCAGAGGACGUUUUGACGGUCCCCCGGCGGUCAAUGAAGACGGACUCGCCGAAGCAACGAUGGUUAAAUAAACAAAGGGUUGGGAGGUCGGGCCUGUGAGACCCUAACUCUUUAAUGAUCCUUCCGCAGGUUCACCUACGGAAA
Molecule: unclassified non-coding RNA, 224 nt
Filed under: uncultured fungus
Lineage: Eukaryota; Fungi
Description: sequence contains ITS1
Source: RNAcentral